GACGAACGCUGGCGGCGUGCUUAACACAUGCAAGUCGAACGGAAAGGCCUGCUUUCCCUUGUGGAUUGCGGGUACUCGCGUGGCGAACGGGUGAGUAACACGUGAGUGAUCUGCCCCCAACUUGGGUAUAAGCCUGGGAAACUGGGUCUAAUUCCCGAUAGGACUGCAGGGUGGUGCCUGUGGUGGAAAACGAUGUUCUAGUGGUUGGGGAUGAGCUCGCGGCCUAUCAGCUUGUUGGUUGGGUAAUGGCCUACCAAGGCGGGGACGGGUAGCCGGCCUGGGAGGGCGGACGGCCACAUUGGGACGGAGAUACGGCCACGACUCCUACGGGAGGCAGCAGUGGGGAAUAUUGCACAAUGGGCGGAAGCCUGAUGCAGCGACGCCGCGUGGGGGAUGACGGCCUUCGGGUUGUAAACUCCUUUCGACCGCGAGGAAGCCACCUGGUUGGAAGGGUGGUGACGGUAGUGGUAGAAGAAGCACCGGCUAACUACGUG
RNAcentral lists this ribosomal RNA (494 nucleotides) under uncultured bacterium. RNAcentral's name for it is "partial 16S ribosomal RNA". It matches the Rfam family "Bacterial small subunit ribosomal RNA", at positions 28 to 507 of the family's 1533-position model. The record is from RNAcentral.